GACGGAGGAUGCAAGUGUUAUCCGGAAUCACUGGGCGUAAAGCGUCUGUAGGUGGUUCGAAAAGUCCACUGUUAAAAAUUGAAGCUUAACUUCAAAGAUGCCGUGGAAACUUUCAAACUAGAGUAUGGUAGGGGUAGAGGGAAUUCCAGUGGAGCGGUGAAAUGCGUAGAUAUUGGAAAGACCACCGAUGGCGAAGGCACUCUACUGGGCCAUUACUGACACUGAGGAGCGAAAGCGUGGGGAGCGAACAGG
Molecule: ribosomal RNA, 252 nt
Filed under: uncultured bacterium
Lineage: Bacteria
Description: partial 16S ribosomal RNA
Rfam family: Bacterial small subunit ribosomal RNA
Source: RNAcentral